Dicentrarchus labrax (European seabass) is the source of this 138-nucleotide small nuclear RNA. Its record names the gene U1. It matches the Rfam family "U1 spliceosomal RNA". Rfam says of the family: U1 is a small nuclear RNA (snRNA) component of the spliceosome (involved in pre-mRNA splicing). Its 5' end forms complementary base pairs with the 5' splice junction, thus defining the 5' donor site of an intron. There are significant differences in sequence and secondary structure between metazoan and yeast U1 snRNAs, the latter being much longer (568 nucleotides as compared to 164 nucleotides in human). The record is from Ensembl. Lineage: Eukaryota; Metazoa; Chordata; Actinopteri; Moronidae.
AUACUUACCUGGCAGGGGAGAUACCAUGAUCAAGAAGGUGGUUCACCUUGGGCGAGGCCUGACCAUUGCACUGGCUAGUGGACUGUGCAGUAUGGACAGCAGCAGCAGCAGCAGCAGCCUGUUUAGAGCGGACAGCGG